CUUCCGUUGGAGCUGCACCUGCGCACUUUUUUCCGAGGAGGGGCUUAAGCGGGGCCUGGGAGACAACCCGAAAGCUCUGGGGUGUCGCUCCGGCUUUCGAGUCCGGAUGUCAAGCUCGCACCUUGGCGUAAGGGAAUGGAAGCGCCUAAAGCCCGGGGGUGGGCGGGGAGGCUUGCCGCCUCUGCCCGGCGCGUGGAUGGGACCGUCAGUCGGUUGCGAAGGAGCAGGCGGACAUCUUUCUGACCGAACAAAGAGGAAUUAUUCAACAAUUAUUCGCCAAUCUGGAAACAGCGGUACAUAUGUUAGAGGGAAUAAUAAAAUAUACUUGGCAAGGAAGAAUUGCAGCAAUCAUAUUUUCUAUUUCAAGUGGUUCCAAUUCCAAACCCAAUAAGGUAUUUAAUGGCUGGCAUGGACUAAUAAGGAGUCGUAUAUAAUCCAGCAAAGGGGCAAAUAUUAAAUUCAAGAAUUUCCAAGAUUCAAAAGAGCAAGGUGCCCCCCCCCCGCCAAGUUUCAAAUUCUACUGCCGUGCUGCCUGCCUGAGUGGAUUUCAGCGUGAAUUAUAUUUCAGAGUGGUUCCAUCAUCUUAAUGGAAGACCUACCAGAAAGGCUCAUAGGCUUUACUUGUGGCCCCGGAGAAAAACAGAAGAGCAGCUAUUUCUGAAUGCUGCUUGCUAUUUGGUGGAAGAUCUCCAAACUUUUGAACAAAGAUGUCUGAGAGGUUCCAAGGACACCUUUCAAAUCAGGCUGUUUUCUACUAAACGUGAAACCAAACACA
Long non-coding RNA from Pantherophis guttatus, 775 nucleotides. RefSeq lists it as uncharacterized. Lineage: Eukaryota; Metazoa; Chordata; Lepidosauria; Squamata; Colubridae. The record is from RefSeq and is a predicted model, not a curated record.